UACAGAGGGGGCAAGCGUUGUUCGGAAUUACUGGGCGUAAAGGGCGCGUAGGCGGCCUUCUAAGUCAGGCGUGAAAUCCCCCGGCUUAACCUGGGAACUGCGUCUGAUACUGGAGGGCUUGAGUGCGGGAGAGGGAUGUGGAAUUCCAGGUGUAGCGGUGAAAUGCGUAGAUAUCUGGAGGAACACCGGUGGCGAAGGCGGCAUCCUGGACCGACACUGACGCUGAGGCGCGAAAGCUAGGGUAGCAAACGGG
RNAcentral lists this ribosomal RNA (253 nucleotides) under uncultured bacterium. RNAcentral's name for it is "partial 16S ribosomal RNA". It matches the Rfam family "Bacterial small subunit ribosomal RNA", at positions 524 to 776 of the family's 1533-position model. The record is from RNAcentral.